This 497-nucleotide ribosomal RNA is filed under the name uncultured bacterium. Its description in RNAcentral is "partial 16S ribosomal RNA". It matches the Rfam family "Bacterial small subunit ribosomal RNA", at positions 28 to 507 of the family's 1533-position model. The record is from RNAcentral.
GAUGAACGCUGGCGGCGUGCCUAAUACAUGCAAGUCGAGCGAACGGACGAGAAGCUUGCUCUUCUGAUGUUAGCGGCGGACGGGUGAGUAACACGUGGAUAACCUACCUAUAAGACUGGGAUAACUUCGGGAAACCGGAGCUAAUACCGGAUAAUAUUUUGAACCGCAUGGUUCAAAAGUGAAAGACGGUUUUGCUGUCACUUAUAGAUGGAUCCGCGCUGCAUUAGCUAGUUGGUAAGGUAACGGCUUACCAAGGCAACGAUGCGUAGCCGACCUGAGAGGGUGAUCGGCCACACUGGAACUGAGACACGGUCCAGACUCCUACGGGAGGCAGCAGUAGGGAAUCUUCCGCAAUGGGCGAAAGCCUGACGGAGCAACGCCGCGUGAGUGAUGAAGGUCUUCGGAUCGUAAAACUCUGUUAUUAGGGAAGAACAUAUGUGUAAGUAACUGUGCACGUCUUGACGGUACCUAAUCAGAAAGCCACGGCUAACUACGUG